This 360-nucleotide ribosomal RNA is filed under the name uncultured bacterium. RNAcentral describes it as "bacterial SSU rRNA". It matches the Rfam family "Bacterial small subunit ribosomal RNA", at positions 70 to 422 of the family's 1533-position model. The record is from RNAcentral.
UUUUGGGAGCUUGCUCCCGAAGGUUAGCGGCGGACGGGUGAGUAACACGUGGGCAACCUGCCUAUAAGACUGGGAUAACUUCGGGAAACCGGAGCUAAUACCGGAUAAUUCUUUUCUACACAUGUAGAGAAGCUAAAAGACGGUUUACGCUGUCACUUAUAGAUGGGCCCGCGGCGCAUUAGCUAGUUGGUGAGGUAACGGCUCACCAAGGCCACGAUGCGUAGCCGACCUGAGAGGGUGAUCGGCCACACUGGGACUGAGACACGGCCCAGACUCCUACGGGAGGCAGCAGUAGGGAAUCUUCCGCAAUGGACGAAAGUCUGACGGAGCAACGCCGCGUGAGUGAUGAAGGUUUUCGGA